This 71-nucleotide transfer RNA is filed under the name Chitinophaga varians. RNAcentral describes it as "tRNA-Ala". It matches the Rfam family "tRNA". Rfam says of the family: Transfer RNA (tRNA) molecules are approximately 80 nucleotides in length. Their secondary structure includes four short double-helical elements and three loops (D, anti-codon, and T loops). Lineage: Bacteria; Pseudomonadati; Bacteroidota; Chitinophagia; Chitinophagales; Chitinophagaceae. The record is from RNAcentral.
CGGACCGUGGCUCAAGGGAAGAGCGUCUGCUCUGCAAGCAGAAGGUGGGAGUUCGAUUCUCCCCGGUUCUG